This 280-nucleotide ribosomal RNA is filed under the name uncultured bacterium. Its description in RNAcentral is "partial 16S ribosomal RNA". It matches the Rfam family "Bacterial small subunit ribosomal RNA", at positions 506 to 784 of the family's 1533-position model. The record is from RNAcentral.
UGCCAGCCGCCGCGGUAAUACGAAGGGGGCUGGUGUUACUCAGAAUAAUUGGGCGUAAAGGGUGCGUAGGUUGCUUCUCAAGUUAAAAGUUAAAUCCAAGAGCUUAACUUUUGAAAAGCUUUUAAAACUAAGAAGCUAGAGUAUAGAAUAGGAUAGUAGUAUUCUUAGUUGUAGGGGUUGAAUCCAUUCAGAUUAAGGAGACUAUCAAAGGCGAAGGCAGCUAUCUGGUUUAUAACUGACACUAAGGCACAAAAGCAUGGGUAGCAAACAGGAUUAGAUA